This 429-nucleotide ribosomal RNA is filed under the name Pseudomonadota bacterium. RNAcentral describes it as "Proteobacteria bacterium partial 16S ribosomal RNA". It matches the Rfam family "Bacterial small subunit ribosomal RNA", at positions 355 to 776 of the family's 1533-position model. The record is from RNAcentral. Lineage: Bacteria; Pseudomonadati; Pseudomonadota.
UGGGGAAUAUUGGACAAUGGGCGAAAGCCUGAUCCAGCCAUGCCGCGUGUGUGAAGAAGGUCUUCGGAUUGUAAAGCACUUUAAGUUGGGAGGAAGGGCAGUAAGCGAAUACCUUGCUGUCUUGACGUUACCGACAGAAUAAGCACCGGCUAACUCUGUGCCAGCAGCCGCGGUAAUACAGAGGGUGCAAGCGUUAAUCGGAAUUACUGGGCGUAAAGCGCGCGUAGGUGGUUCGUUAAGUUGAAUGUGAAAGCCCCGGGCUCAACCUGGGAACUGCAUCCAAAACAGGCGAGCUAGAGUAGGGCAGAGGGUGGUGUAAUUACCUGUGUAUCGGUGAAAUUCGUAGAUAUAGGAAGGAACACCAGUGGGGAAGGCGACCACCUGGGCUCAUACUGACACUAAGGUACGAAAGCGUGGGGAGCAAACAGG